Non-coding RNA from Sarcophilus harrisii (Tasmanian devil), 68 nucleotides. The record is from Rfam. NCBI's taxonomy places the organism in Eukaryota, Metazoa, Chordata, Mammalia, Dasyuromorphia, Dasyuridae.
GUGGGCAUCUUACUAGACAGUGCUGGAUUUUUGGAUGUAUUCUAACACUGUCUGGUAACGAUGUUUAA